GCCACAGGAGGGCACUCCAGGCGCGCCGCUGACGCCUCCGUUGCUGAGCGUAGAGCCACACCGGGAUCCCCGGCUGCACGAAGCCCACCCCACGCACGGGCCGGACGCUGCGGCCGCCCCCCGCCCCCCCGCUUUUGGGAAAUUCGGGGACGGAGCCCCUUCGCCCCUCCUGGGACACGGGCUGGCGCUGGGGCUGGCUCUGAGCUUGCCGCGGAUCUUUGUGGAUGCCGCAAUCCAAUCCGGCUCUUCCCUUUCGCGGCUCUAGACACGCGCCUGCGCGGAGACAGGCCACUCCCAACAUGCCCGAAGUGACGAUCCAGACGGCAUCUUGUUCGUAGCUUACAACAGGAAGUGUAGCCCUCCGCCAUUUUAGUAUGGCCGUCCUUGCAGAGGUAUUCCAUCGAUGUACAAAGAGGAAGCGGUGCUGCUCCUGCCGUGUACACCUGACCCCAGGACGUUUUCUCCUACUCGGCGUCUCCUCGAAGUAGGGAUUUGAUUUUCUAGGCUUGGCCUCGGAGUUAACUCUAACCCAACCCUACUACACGGGGAGAUGCUGGCAGUCCCAUCAUGCGUGAGGCCGACGCCAGGAAGAAGCUGCAUGGGACCGUGAGGCGCUAGCUGUGCUGAGAAGGAGAAACCCACAGUCUAAACGGGGGUCCCAUGGGUCGAAUCGCACCUGAAUGCAGCCCACGACAGGACCCAGAACCCUCCUAGAUGAAUGCGGGGACUUCCUUUGCAGCAUGCUGGCAUUCUUUCGUUGAAAGUUCACAGGCGAGCACAGAAUGGAGUGGUCUUUCACAUGAAAGUACCAACUUUCAGUCAUUGGCAGUACAGCAGAAGGUUGCAUAGGCAUAAUUUUGGGGCAAAGGGCCCCAUGCUAGCCUCAUUGAAAUUAGCAUGGAAAAUUUCAAAUGAGAAACAUUUGGCUUUUAAGGAAAAUAGAUUAUACUGGAAGGUAUCCUCAUCUCUACAUUGGUGUAAGUAUAGCUUCACGGGAACACCCUAGAUUCAUGAGAUUAGAGUGCCUUAUUUUAAUAUAACCUAUCAAUGGAUCUAUUUCAACAGCAAUCACCUACACUGGAAUUCAGACCCUCUCUUUGGUUCCCCAGGUCCUGUCUUAAGUCUUCCUGUCAUUUUCUUGACCCUGUGCAGAAUAGACCCUGUGUAGAUGUUUUUUUACAAGGUGAUUAAAGGACCCCACGGGUGCUUCAUGGCAGGGGUGAGCAAAAGGCAGAGAGCCUCGUGCAGGGACCUUCUUUUGCCCCCUCUGCUGAACUGGGCAGGCUUGUGUAGCGCACAGCAGAGACCGGAGACCUAAACCGGGCUCACCGAUUCCGCCUCUUUAGCAGAAGCUUGUAAACCAGUCCUGUGAAGUGGUGAGGAGGUUGCUGGGAAUCUGACAGAAUGGGCCGCUUGGGCAGCUUGGUUUGUUUUCCCCCUCCUGUCGUGCCCCCACACCCCGUUUCUGCCCAUGUCCGCCUGUAUCUGUGGGGCUGGGGGCUGCCAUGGCAGGUUUGCCUCCUGAAUCAAAGGUCAGAUCUAACACGGAAGAGUGACUGAGAUGGGGAAAUUUGUCAGUGCUGAGAAAUGGAAAUGCACCUUAUGCUGA
Molecule: long non-coding RNA, 1609 nt
Organism: Varanus komodoensis (Komodo dragon)
Lineage: Eukaryota; Metazoa; Chordata; Lepidosauria; Squamata; Varanidae
Exons: 2
Source: RefSeq, a predicted model, not a curated record